UGGGGAAUAUUGGACAAUGGGGGCAACCCUGAUCCAGCAAUGCCGCGUGUGUGAAGAAGGUCUUCGGAUUGUAAAGCACUUUCGACGGGGACGAUGAUGACGGUACCCGUAGAAGAAGCCCCGGCUAACUUCGUGCCAGCAGCCGCGGUAAUACGAAGGGGGCUAGCGUUGCUCGGAAUGACUGGGCGUAAAGGGCGUGUAGGCGGUUUACACAGUCAGAUGUGAAAUCCCCGGGCUUAACCUGGGAGCUGCAUUUGAUACGUGUAGACUAGAGUGUGAGAGAGGGUUGUGGAAUUCCCAGUGUAGAGGUGAAAUUCGUAGAUAUUGGGAAGAACACCGGUGGCGAAGGCGGCAACCUGGCUCAUGACUGACGCUGAGGCGCGAAAGCGUGGGGAGCAAACAGGAUUAGAUACCCUGGUAGUCCACGCUGUAAACGAUGUGUGCUAGAUGUUGGGUAACUUUGUUAUUCAGUGUCGCAGUUAACGCGUUAAAGCACACCGCCUGGGGAGUA
This 511-nucleotide ribosomal RNA is filed under the name uncultured bacterium. RNAcentral's name for it is "partial 16S ribosomal RNA". It matches the Rfam family "Bacterial small subunit ribosomal RNA", at positions 355 to 882 of the family's 1533-position model. The record is from RNAcentral.